Coregonus clupeaformis (lake whitefish) is the source of this 362-nucleotide long non-coding RNA. RefSeq lists it as uncharacterized. NCBI's taxonomy places the organism in Eukaryota, Metazoa, Chordata, Actinopteri, Salmoniformes, Salmonidae. The transcript has 3 exons. The record is from RefSeq and is a predicted model, not a curated record.
GGAGAAUAAACGGUCACUACCUCAAGAAGUCUGAUAAGAAGCUGAGCUGAGACUAGAUGGUGAAAUUCGAACGCAAGCUAUGUUCCAAGUUUAUGGUUCCAGCAGCUCUGCAGUGCCAUGAGGAGCCUUGUGAAAUUGCCUUUAAAGAAAAGGCAAACCAUUUACCAGGAAGAAAGUUGAACAUUGGGUUCACAACCAGGGCUAAACUUAACAGAUUACUUGACGAGGGUGACAUCACACCACAGCAGGUGGAUUCAUUCCAUGAAGCUGUGUUGUGUUUCCUGACAAGUGCUGUGGACUAUGCACUUAAGAAGCUGCCACUGGAAGAGCCACUGAUCAAGCACGAACAAAUUGUAGAUGUA